GUCCAGCCCUGGUUCGUGUACAAAUGCAUGGCGGGGAGACCAGAAAGUUUUCGAAACUGCGUGAGUGGAAGUCCGCGUUGGACAAAUUUUGAAAAUAUCUGAACAUACGUGUCCUGUUGAACUUGAAAAAGACGAAAUUAUUUUUAAAAAGAUCAUGGUAACUCGUGAAGCAACAUCUCAGAAUUGAAUCGGCGAGUUGUGUAUUUGCUGACAAUCCGAGCCUGCUCCGUUUAGAUUUGCAUAAUAGGAAUCAAAAAUUUUCGAAACUGCCAUCGCGGAAGGCCUGGUUGAAUGAACAUUGUAUUCGUCGAACCUCUAAAGGUUAACGAUUUGGAUCAUUUUGGAAGAUACAUACGCCGCGCUUUUCAAAACGGACUGACGUGCCCUUGUCCAACUUGAUAAAGGCGGAAUUAUUUUAGGAAAGACCAUGGCAACUAGUAAAGCAGAACCCGAGAAUUCAAUCGGCGGCUGUAUGUUGACUGACAAGAAUAUAAUUGCUGUUAAUCCGGCCCUGCUUCGUGUACAAAUGCAUAGCGGGGAGACAUGAACAUUUUUCGAAAUUGCGGACCUAUCCUGUUGGGAUUCUACGUUGGACAAAUUCUGAAAACGACCCCAGAAAUAUAAUUGGUGAGAAAAUAGUUUUUUUUUGUGUUAACCGUUAACAAUUUUUUAUUUUGGAAACAAGUUUCAGU
Cylas formicarius (sweet potato weevil) is the source of this 692-nucleotide long non-coding RNA. RefSeq lists it as uncharacterized. The transcript has 3 exons. NCBI's taxonomy places the organism in Eukaryota, Metazoa, Arthropoda, Insecta, Coleoptera, Brentidae. The record is from RefSeq and is a predicted model, not a curated record.